CCUACGGGAGGCAGCAGUGGGGAAUAUUGCACAAUGGGGGAAACCCUGAUGCAGCGACGCCGCGUGAGUGAAGAAGUAUCUAGGUGUGUAAAGCUCUAUCAGCAGGGAAGAAAGAAAUGACGGUACCUGACUAAGAAGCCCCGGCUAACUACGUGCCAGCAGCCGCGGUAAUACGGAGGGGGCAAGCGUUAUCAGGAUUUACUGGGUGUAAAGGGAGCGUAGACGGGGAUGCAAGUCUGAAGUGAAAGGCGGGGGCCCAACCCCCGGACUGCUUUGGAAACUGUAUGGCUGGAGUGCAGGAGAGGUAAGUGGAAUUCCUAGUGUAGCGGUGAAAUGCGUAGAUAUUAGGAGGAACACCAGUUGCGAAGGCGGCUUACUGGACUGUAACUGACGUUGAGGCUCGAAAGCGUGGGGAGCAAACAGGAUUAGAUACCCCUGUAGUC
RNAcentral lists this ribosomal RNA (443 nucleotides) under uncultured bacterium. RNAcentral's name for it is "partial 16S ribosomal RNA". It matches the Rfam family "Bacterial small subunit ribosomal RNA", at positions 338 to 795 of the family's 1533-position model. The record is from RNAcentral.